This is an RNA transcript of Manis javanica (Malayan pangolin), 2731 nucleotides long. It is a transcript of the gene named transmembrane serine protease 3, with no coding region annotated. The record is from RefSeq and is a predicted model, not a curated record. Lineage: Eukaryota; Metazoa; Chordata; Mammalia; Pholidota; Manidae.
GAGCUGGAGGUGGAGCCGAAUCUCAGAGGUCCUGAGAUAGUCACUAUGGGGGAGAACGACCCGCCGGCUGCCGAAGGCCCCCUCUCCUUCAGAUCCCUUUUCGGCCUUGACAAUUUGAAAAUAAGUCCCGUUGCACCAGACGCAGAUGCAGUGGCUGCACAGAUCCUGUCACUGCUGCCAUUGAAGUUCUUCCCGAUCAUCGUCAUUGGGAUCAUCGCGUUGGUACUGGCGCUGGCCAUUGGUCUGGGCGUCCACUUCGACUGCUCUGGGAAGUACCGGUGCCGGUCAUCUUUCAAGUGUAUUGAAUUGACAGCUCGGUGCAACGGGGCCCCAGACUGCAAAGACGGGGAGGAUGAGUACCGGUGUGUCCGCCUGAGCGGGCAGAACGCCGUGCUGCAGGUGUUCACAGCUGCUGCCUGGAGGACCAUGUGCUCUGAUGACUGGCAAGGUCACCAUGCUAAUGUCGCCUGUGCCCAGAUGGGCUUUCCAAGCUCUGUCACUUCAGACACCCUCCUAGUGGACUCACUUGAGGAGCGGUUCCGAGAGGUCUUUGUGUCCAUCAAUCACCUCUUGCCAGAUGACAAAGUGACCGCUUUACACCAGUCGGUGUAUGUGAGGGAGGGCUGUGCCUCGGGUCGUGCGGUCACCUUGCAGUGCACAGCCUGUGGCCUGAGAAGGAACUACAGUUCGCGCAUCGUGGGUGGAAACGUGUCCUCGCUCAUGCAGUGGCCCUGGCAGGCCAGCCUUCAGUUCCAGGGCUACCACCUGUGUGGGGGCUCCAUCAUCACCCCCGUGUGGGUCGUCACCGCUGCCCACUGUGUCUAUGACCUAUACCUCCCCAAGUCAUGGACCAUCCAGGUGGGCCUAGUUUCCCUGCUGGACAGCCCAGCCCCUUCCCAACUGGUGGAGAAAAUCAUCUACCAUAGCAAGUACAAGCCGAAGAGGCUGGGCAACGAUAUCGCCCUCAUGAAGCUGGCUGGGCCCCUCACCUUCAAUGAGAUGAUCCAACCAGUUUGUCUGCCCAACUCUGAGGAGAACUUUCCUGAUGGAAAAACAUGCUGGACAUCUGGAUGGGGGGCCACAGAGGAUGGAGGUGAUGCCUCCCCUGUCCUCAACCAUGCAGCUGUGCCUUUAAUCUCCAACAAGAUCUGCAACCACAGGGACGUGUAUGGUGGCAUCAUCUCCCCCUCCAUGCUCUGUGCUGGCUACCUGAAAGGCGGCGUGGACAGCUGCCAGGGAGACAGCGGGGGGCCCCUGGUGUGUCAGGAGAGGCGAGUCUGGAAGUUGGUGGGAACCACAAGCUUUGGCAUCGGCUGUGCUGAGGCUAAUAAGCCUGGCGUCUACACCCGCAUCACCUCCUUCCUGGACUGGAUCCACGAGCAGAUGGAGAGGGACCUGAAAACUUGAAGGGAAAGGGGACAAGCCACCACCUCACAUUUCUGCCAUGAGGGAGACGUCCGCACCCUCCCAUGCGGGAACCGGCAACAGUGGGGCAAGGAGGAUCGGCUGCACGUCCCCCUACGUCUAGGACAACUUGCUCCUAACACCUCUAAGAGUCUUUUGGGCAACAGACUCUAAGGCCUUGAAGCUCCUUCCUGAGUCACUAUGACCAGGAGCAGGAAGGCCUCUGAAGUGCUAGCUUCCCCAUUUGUCCAUUUGGGUUCCUCUCCGGGGGUGUCAACACUCCUGACAGUGAGGGAACAGCCCUUCAGUAGAGCCGUGUUUUUCCCCAGGUCUUUGAAGGUAGUGGUGGCCUGUGCGUUGAAGGUCACGUGGGGAAAAGAUCAAAGACCUCACGUGGGAGCCUCUGCUGAGAGACCUCAACUGAGCCGGCAGCCACAGGUGUUUGAUGCCUGCGGUAACCUUAUUCUUCUUUAAUCACCACUGAGUGUUGUGAGGAAGUAUUUCCCUAGGAAAUAUAAGGUGGUGCCAAUGGUGGGCAAUUGGUGCGUGUGAACCACAUGCCUGGCACUGUCCCCCUAAGUCUCACAUGUUUACUCAUUUGUUGCAGCCCCUAUAAGGCAGGAGGAACCAUCCGUCCCGUUCCAGAGAUGAGGAAACAGGUGUAGAGAAGUGACUUCCCCAAACUACCCAUCGGGCCGGAGGGGCAUUGGGGGUUUGCACCAGGCUCAUCAUAGCAGGAGUUAAAGAAUGAGCUGAUAGCAAAGCUACACCCUUUGGCAUUUGAGUCUCAAGGGACUUUGUGCCAUCAAUUUGAACCCAUUGCAAUGUAUUAGUCAUUCAAAGUCACGACCUUCUCCAGAAAUAUUUGGUCUUGAUGGAGACAUUUGCUGGCGUGAGCUGCAGGUUGGUGGGUAGGACUGUUGUCGACUUGUUCCUCUUCUCCAAGGACACCGCUUAGCACCUACCUCUGGCAAGGCCAGUGGGGUCGGGACAGAAAGUUGUGGCCAGAGCACGCCUACCCUGGCCUGCCACCAGAGGAACAGCUGGAGGAGCAGGCUACAGAUGGAGCGGGCUGCCUCCCCUGGCGACUUAGCCCUGAAGACGGGACUGUGGGGCAUCCCUGUCCCAGUGCAGUGAAUGGGAGACCCCCACCUGUGUGCUGACAUCCACGGAAACAGUCCUCCUCUCUCAGGAACUGUAGUAUUUGAUACAGCUUUAUCUCCGCAUUGUAACAAGAUUACAGAAGCCUAAAGAUACUAUAGAAAGUUUGGAAAGGUGUGUUACAAAUCGGCCAACAAAUUAAACACUCCAGUUGGCCAUGAACACU